AAAUAAAAUUCCGCGAAAGUCUAUUAAUCUUUUUGGCGCGUUUAAGUCAUUUCAAAACAUGACGUCAUACAAAUGAAACCGCUAAAGUUGAAUGUUUUCUGUUACGUGAACCAUCGGAAUUCGUAUGCUAUUGUAUUAAAACUAAUUUUUGAGGUAGGUUUUGUUUUAUUUUUUAUUCUAUUGCAUUUUUCGCAUAUUUACUCAUUUCAGCAAGUCAACAUGGCGGCUCCUUAGUUGCAAAAUGUCGACUUUGGAUUUGACGGUAGCUUACGAGAAAAACAUGUAAAUUAAAAAUGGCAAAGGCUGGGUUUGAGAAUUUAAAGAAUUAAAACGAUUUUUUCUAGCAGUUAUUCAAGAAAUAAACUUCGCAAGCUACAUAUUUAUAAAGAUAUUUGAGCUUUAUCUAACAGGGAGUAAAAAAGAACAGCCACACACACAUCAUAC
Molecule: long non-coding RNA, 444 nt
Filed under: Mytilus galloprovincialis (Mediterranean mussel)
Lineage: Eukaryota; Metazoa; Mollusca; Bivalvia; Mytilida; Mytilidae
Source: RNAcentral